Molecule: non-coding RNA, 29 nt
Filed under: Homo sapiens (human)
Lineage: Eukaryota; Metazoa; Chordata; Mammalia; Primates; Hominidae
Source: RNAcentral
UGGGUGUGCUGACUGAUAGUGUUACUUGA